Argentina anserina (silverweed cinquefoil) is the source of this 1407-nucleotide long non-coding RNA. RefSeq lists it as uncharacterized. The transcript has 5 exons. NCBI's taxonomy places the organism in Eukaryota, Viridiplantae, Streptophyta, Magnoliopsida, Rosales, Rosaceae. The record is from RefSeq and is a predicted model, not a curated record.
UUGCAUAUCAGGCGCUGCAAGAGUCUAAAGUAUCUACCAUCCGUCCAAACUAUGCACAGGCUCACCAAAUUAGAGGAGCUAUGUAUCCAUGGCGACGAGUGUUCCCUUCUAAAAGAAAGAUGCAGAGAGGAGAGCGGCGCAGAGUGGCCUAAGAUUUCUCAUAUUCCACAUAUUUGGGUUCCUUGAGACGGGGAUGCAUGGGCCCUUUCCUUUUACCAAGCAUCAGAUUGGACUUGCUCAAGGUUGCGCAAUGAUAACUGGGCAUCUGCAAUUCUAUAGCAUAUCUCUAUCAGCAAUGCAGGAUUGGGGGAAAUUGGAACAGGUUGUUUGAUGAUGCUCUUAUGUUGUUGUUAAAAGUAUUAAGAGGCACUCCAAUUGCUACAGAGAUAGGUGUUGACAAGGUUUUCUUCUGGUCAUAACUCACUGGUGGAAGUUGCUGAUCGCUUGAAGAUUCUCUGUGAAUAAAGGAAUGAUUAAGCAAAACAUGAUCGGCCAUGAUAGAUUCAGUAAUGGCCGAGUUUGGAGUUUGGGGCAUUUUGAUACACACUUUAUUUAGUACGCUGAUUCCCAAAGGUAAUAGUAAUCUUACAUUAAUUUUAGAUGCAUAAAAUUAAGGAUUCUGGUAAACAAUAUAUAUGACAUUCCCCACUACAACUUAUGACGCGAAAUAAAUGCAAUUAGUGAGGAAAUCCAGGACCUGAUGACUCUUCCUUAGUGCCAAGCCAAGCAGCAAAACCUUUUGGUUUGUGUCUUAGCUCAAAUUGUUGAAUGUAGAUUUUUUUUUAUGGAUCGCAGCAUCAAAUAAACUGGUCCUUGUUUUUCAGCAAGACUAUGGGACAACAUUUUUCACCAUGUUGGUACUGUGGACUUGAAACGUAGAGCAUUUGGCCAGUUGAAUCUACUGUACUACUACACAGCCACUUUUAUCAUUCUACUAUGUGUCUAGCGCUUGGAUUUUCUUAGGUUGAAGGAAGAUGACAUUAUGGUUUUAAAGAGUCACUAAAGUUGGCUUUUGGAGAGAUAUUGAAAGCUGGUUGGAAACAGACUGCGAUGCUUGUUCAUCAUUAUAUUCCGGUCCUUAUCUCUGAGGUUGACAGUUCUGAGUUUAUGGGAGACUUGUUUGUUAGCCAUUCUCCAAAGGUGGUAACUGAGCUGCAUAUGUUUUUGCAGAUUGUUUGGUUUGUCUGAAAUCAAAAGUUAUGCACUUCUUAAAGUUUCCCGUUCAUUAUUCCUUUUUGCAUUAUGUAAGCAAGUUGAAGUUUUACGAAUUUUUGCAUAUACAACACGCUAAAGCUUAAACCUCUCAUAAGAAAAGAGAAUAAUUGUAAUAGUCCUUCUUCAACCACCAGCAUUGAAUAUAUACAUCACAUCCUCGUUCUUUUGCAGCAAGACGAUCAAUUUAUUCAC